This is a non-coding RNA of Vigna umbellata (rice bean), 352 nucleotides long. The record is from RefSeq and is a predicted model, not a curated record. NCBI's taxonomy places the organism in Eukaryota, Viridiplantae, Streptophyta, Magnoliopsida, Fabales, Fabaceae.
ACAGUACAUACUCAUUUUUUUUCUCUUUCACCACCAGGUCAUUAGUUUGGAACUGUCAACUGGAAUUCCCAUGCUUUACAUUUUCAAAGAGGGAAGAUUCAUUAGGAGGGGAAGUCCCACAAGGCCUUCUGAAGCUGGAGUUUAUGCCUAUACAAAGCGUUUGGCUCUUUACAAGCAGAAGUUGGAUGACAUGUUCCAAUGAUAUAUUGUUUAGGAAAUACAUACACACAUUUAAUCAGAAAUGUCACAGUUGAAUCACAAAGGGGGACAUAUUUUCGGUGGCUCUGUUAGGUCAACAAUAUUUCCAGUUGUCCUAAAGCUAGGUUGUUUUCAAUGUGUUAGUAGUACAGUU